This 744-nucleotide ribosomal RNA is filed under the name uncultured bacterium. RNAcentral describes it as "bacterial SSU rRNA". It matches the Rfam family "Bacterial small subunit ribosomal RNA", at positions 8 to 796 of the family's 1533-position model. The record is from RNAcentral.
AGAGUUUGAUCAUGGCUCAGAACGAACGCUGGCGGCAGGCCUCAAACAUGCAAGUCUAGGGGGUGCAGCAAUGCAUCACCGGCGGACGGGUGCGUAACGCGUGGGAAUAUACCUAUUGGUUCGGAACAACUGCGGGAAACUGCAGCUAAUACCGAAUGUGCCCUCACGGGGAAAGAUUUAUCGCCAAUGGAUUAGCCCGCGUCCGAUUAGCUAGUUGGUGGGGUAAAAGCUCACCAAGGCUCCGAUCGGUAGCUGUUCUGAGAGGAAGAUCAGCCACACUGGGACUGAGACACGGCCCAGACUCCUACGGGAGGCAGCAGUUGGGAAUCUUGGACAAUGGGGGAAACCCUGAUCCAGCCAUGCCGCGUGAGUGAUGAAGGCCUUCGGGUUGUAAAACUCUUUCGACGGGGACGAUAAUGACGGUACCCGUAGAAGAAGCUCCGGCUAACUUCGUGCCAGCAGCCGCGGUAAUACGAAGGGGGCUAGCGUUGUUCGGAAUUACUGGGCGUAAAGCGCGCGCAGGCGGCUAUCCAAGUCAGUGGUGAAAGCCCGGAGCUCAACUCCGGAACUGCCAUUGAAACUGUUUAGCUUGAGGAUGAGAGAGGUGAGUGGAAUUCCCAGUGUAGAGGUGAAAUUCGUAGAUAUUGGGAAGAACACCGGUGGCGAAGGCGGCUCACUGGCUCAUUACUGACGCUCAGGCGCGAUAGCGUGGGGAUCAAACAGGAUUAGAUACCCCAGUAGUCC